Molecule: RNA transcript, 2632 nt
Organism: Harmonia axyridis
Lineage: Eukaryota; Metazoa; Arthropoda; Insecta; Coleoptera; Coccinellidae
Exons: 2
Source: RefSeq, a predicted model, not a curated record
GAGAAAUUAAGGAUUUUUUUGUCUAUUGGGAACAUAAUCUUUUUAGUCGGGAAAAACAGACAAGCUUCAUGCUAUCGUGCACAGUAGAGAUAAUGCAAAACAAACAAAUUGAGAAUUUACGAAGUGUUGAAGUCAGAAAUGGAAACAUACUCAAAAAUUUUCCUUGAUGAAAAUAAUCAUCACACUCACAGAGUAAAGAUGGAAAUGGGAGAAGCUGAUGAGAGCUAUGAAAAAGGAAACUCAUUUGACUUGGAAUACACCGAAUACUUUUCAUCGAUAAACACGAAUAACAGAUCAUAAAACGAAAGUAACUGAUACUCGUUAAUAUUGAAAUUCUAUGCGGUACAUGCAAACUUCAUUAUUUUAACUAAGAGCUUAGUUUUUAGUUAAAAGUUGAUCAACUUCCUAGUGCUAGUAUUAGUUCUUAGUACUUAGGUAAAAUGUAUAAACAUCCUCAUUGAUUUGUUAGAGUUCAAUUCUUAGGUUAAGUCUUAGUCCUUAGUUCUUAGGAAUGGUGCAUGAACCAACCAUUAAUUUCUUGAUUUUAAUGAAAAAUGUCAGAAUAUGUUGACCAUUUCUUUUUUUUCUGAAUAAUGUAAAAUAUUUAGAUACAAUUCAAUAAUAGAGAAAGAAAGAGAAAAGUUUAUUGAUGGCCAUCGACCUGAGGUCCUUCAGCCUAUUACACUGCAUAUACAUAAAUAUUUAAAAAAAAAGUACAUUAUGUGUUUUCUAAUGCUCUAAAUAAAGUCUGUGUAGGGUAUUUUCUAAAAGUUGUGUCAUCGAGAUCUUUAAGAUUAUUGAAAAACUUUCUGUUGAAAAUACAAAAUCAAGAAUCAAUUGCUUCACCUGGUUCUUGAAUACAGCGUUUGGUUUGGCGGGUUAUGCAAUAUAUUGUUGGGAUGUCUGAUUUUUGAGUUGAUCCUAAGUGCUGUUGUCUCUGCCACCUUGAGAUUUUUUACUUUGGAUGGAUAUACCUUGUUUUUUAUAUGUCAGUUUGGCAAAGUAUUUGGCUCUAGUGAAAUUCAGUUUAUUAUCAAUCUGUACACCCAAAUAUUUCAUUGAAGUAGAAAUUUUUACCUUUGGAAUAAUUUAUUUUGUUGCAUGCAUUAAUCCAGUUGUUUCCUCUAAACUGCUGUAUCAUAUUUUGAAUAUUUUUAUUAUACCUAUUUAUACCUCUUUUGAAGUUUGAAAUUGUUUAUGAGAUGUUUUUGGUAUGUAGCUGUUAAUGUUAAUAUAGAGUAUUCAAGAUGUUGACGUGAAUUUGCCUAUUACUUUCGUAUUAUAAAAAUUUUUAUUUCAUCAUGUACCGUUAUUGGAGCAUGAAUCUGGCUUGUGUUUUUUUGAGAGAUCUUCUUUUUCAUUAGUUUUUUUAUUAAGUGGCUUGACAUUAGCGUUUGAAAUACCUUCUAUGGGUUUUUUUUGGAUGUUUCGGACAUUUAAUUGACCAUGCCACAUAGUCUUCUGCGCCACAAGACAAGCACUUCGGAGCAUUAUUGGUUUUGUACUGAGACAUAUUAUGUGGUCCUUGUCAUUUUCAAGUAUUUUGGUGAAUUUGUGCAUAAAUCUUUUAUGGUCGAAUUGUAAACAUUUGUUGAAAGGUAUAGGAGUUGGUUCUGGAGGAGGGCUAGGAUAUACCAAAUAGUGUUGAUUCAUGAAAAAUAAUCCAUUAUUCAAAAGUGCUUCAAAUGAUUCAAUUUCACCCAUAAUUAUUCUAAUAAAUCUUGUGGGUUUUGAUUGGGCUCUUGAUAUUAUCCUUUUGCAAUAUCUAUGUUUUAUGUUUUGUGAUAAAAGAUACUGACUUAUUUCUUCUUCUUUUAUACACGUUUCCGUAUUUGAAAUCACCACAGAGUAAGUUUGUUGAGGCUCUCUUCUUGUAUUUGUCGGUUUUUGCGAUGUUGUUUUCUUGUAACUGACUAUUUUUUUCGCCUUCUUUAGCUCUGACAGGGCUUGUUUCAAUUCCUUUUCAUUAGUAUAUCUCUGGACAUAGGAAAUAUCGUAUUCCAAAUGGUCGACUUUUGUAUUUUUUCUAUUUCAUUGUUUUCAGAAUUAAUAUAAAAUAAAUUUGAAUAUUCCAUCUUCUGGAUUUCAUUCAUCUUGGCCUAAAGGUUUUUGUUUAUUAUUUUGGUUUUCAAUGUUUCUUGUUGAUUAUUUUUUGUUGACUGUUCAUUAUUUCCUUUAUCAAUUUCCAUUGUUGAAGGGAUGUUUUGAUUCAUUUCUGGAUCUUUUAUUAAUUGUGGUUGUUUGAAUACGAUAUCAGGAGAUUUAUUAUCGUUUUUUUUUCUUUGUAUCUAUGGCGUUUUUGGUUGACUUUUUCUUUUGUCUUUUACGCUUUGAAUCUUCCGGGUUUUUAGGUACUUCUCCUCCUUAAUCGAAUUUGUUUACUCAUAAUAAUCACUUUCUUGAAGAAAUUCUCAAGGCACGUUGAAAUUAUUCACAUGUGCUCACCACGAAGGUUUAACAUGAACUGUUUAAUAUUAUUUUUUUUAUUUCGCAAUAAAUCAGAUACACUAGGAUACACAGAUACAAGAUACUAUUAUUAUUAUUAUUUGAACUGGGGUCGUUUUGCUUCGGUAAGCCUUCCGGGAACUGCGACCAUGCAGAUCUUUUGUUCACUACCCUACUCAUUCAUAGA